Molecule: ribosomal RNA, 765 nt
Filed under: uncultured bacterium
Lineage: Bacteria
Description: bacterial SSU rRNA
Rfam family: Bacterial small subunit ribosomal RNA
Source: RNAcentral
AACGUUGGCGGCGCGCCUACACAUGCAAGUCUNACGAGAAAGCUCCUUCGGGAGCAAGUACAGUGGCAAACGAGUGCGUAACACGUGGGAAUCUGCCCUUCAGUGAAGAAUAACCUCGGGAAACUGAGGAUAAUGCUGCAUACGUCCCUUCGGGGAGAAAGGUGGCCUCUUGCUGCCGCUGAAGGAUGAACCUGCGGACUAUCAGCUUGUUGGUGAGGUAAUGGCUUACCAAGGCUAUGACGGUUAGCCGGCCUGAGAGGGUGAUCGGCCACGCUGGAACUUAGAUACGGUCCAGACUCCUACGGGAGGCAGCAGUGGGGAAUCUUGCGCAAUGGGCGAAAGCCUGACGCAGCGACGCCGCGUGAAGGAUGAAGGUCUUCGGAUUGUAAACUUCUGUUAAGUGGGAAGAAAGACUCAAACAUAAUACGUUUGGGGGAUGACGGUACCACUAGAGAAAGCACCGGCUAAUUUCGUGCCAGCAGCCGCGGUAAUACGAGAGGUGCAAACGUUAUUCGGAAUCAUUGGGCGUAAAGGGUGCGUAGACGGCACAUUAAGUCAACUGUUAAAUAUCCCGGCCUAACCGGGAAACUGCGGUAGAUACUGAUGUGCUAGAGGAUGGAAGAGAGAAGUGGAAUUCUCGGAGUAGCGGUAAAAUGCGUAGAUCUCGAGAGGAACACCGAUGGCGAAGGCAGCUUCUUGGUCCAUUCCUGACGUUGAGGCACNAAAGCGUGGGGAGCAAACAGGAUUAGAUACCCUGGUAGUCCC